RNAcentral lists this non-coding RNA (30 nucleotides) under Rattus norvegicus (Norway rat). The record is from RNAcentral. Lineage: Eukaryota; Metazoa; Chordata; Mammalia; Rodentia; Muridae.
UAAAUCUUGGACAAAGAUGAUUCCUUGUGU